RNAcentral lists this ribosomal RNA (253 nucleotides) under uncultured bacterium. RNAcentral describes it as "partial 16S ribosomal RNA". It matches the Rfam family "Bacterial small subunit ribosomal RNA", at positions 524 to 776 of the family's 1533-position model. The record is from RNAcentral.
GACGAACCGUGCUAACGUUGUUCGGAUUCACUGGGCUUAAAGGGCGCGUAGGCGGCUGGUCAAGUCAGGGGUGAAAUCUUUCGGCUCAACCGGAAAACUGCCCCUGAUACUGGUCAGCUGGAGGGAGAUAGGGGCAGAUGGAACUUCCGGUGGAGCGGUGAAAUGCGUAGAUAUCGGAAGGAACGCCGGUGGCGAAAGCGAUCUGCUGGAUCUCUUCUGACGCUGAUGCGCGAAAGCCAGGGGAGCAAACGGG